RNAcentral lists this long non-coding RNA (1456 nucleotides) under Gallus gallus (chicken). RNAcentral's name for it is "lncRNA (ENSGALG00010026181.1)". The record is from RNAcentral. Lineage: Eukaryota; Metazoa; Chordata; Aves; Galliformes; Phasianidae.
AGACUUUCUUUUCAACUCUUUCCCCAUGCUUUGUGUCAGAGAGCUCUGUAUCACAGAGCACAUCCCUUUACUCUCCAACAGUGCUGAGAUGCAGCAAUGUGGAACCAACCCACACACAUUUUGUUUGUAAUGUUCAUUGCUGAGGAUGACUGUCACAGGCCAUUCCCUGGGCUCCCCUCUCUAGUACGUCCUGCUGUUGCUACUUCUCUUCACAUGAUUACUUUCACUUAGCAAGCCACUUCAAACACUUUCUUUCCCCCACUCAGUCAUUAGUUAUUUCUGUUUCUCUUUAAUGCACAGAAAGUCUUAAUACCGUUGUCUGAGUAUCACUAGGGCCUAUAGUUUGUACAUAAAAAUAGGUACAUUCAUAAGCACAAGGAAAAUCUGUGGUUUGGCAGUGGGCGCAUAGCACCCUUAUUUGCUCUUUGUUUCAGCUGUGCCUUUGUAGGAGGCAUCUUAUGCCACAACUCCUUGUCCAGCCCUUGACAGAGCAUGCUCAGAGAAGCAAUCUGAAAGAGGGAGCAGCACUGAGAAAGGCCAUUAAUUACAGUCAGAAUUUCCCUUCCAGCAGGGUUGGAAUCAUGGCUAGUAAAUGGGAAAGAAACUGAACAAUGUGCAGGUGAUUUACAACAAAUCAGGUACAAAUUUAAACCAGAGUGCAAGCCAUAUGCGAUGAUGGGAGCCAAGAUACUGUCCUGUACUUUACCGUGAAGUACAUAAAUUCAGAAGACACUCAUGGAACAUGCCCAGAAAAAAAGAAAUCAUUUCUGAAUACAACUUGCAGAAGGUCCCAAGAGCCUCAUUCAGAAAUUUGGAGACAGAAUUUCAACUGCUGACUUUUUAAAUGAGUUUUCAUUAACUCGUUUCCAUUAAUCUUCGGAAUCUGAGAGUAGCUCCCUCUCAUUCAUACUCUAUACUAUAAAAAAAAAAACCCUAGGGAAAUUUAUCUUCUGUAAAUGACUCUAUUAAAGGAGCAGAACAAUAUUGCAUGAAUGAAAUGCAAGAAAAUCAGAAAUCUUUGAUUUUUCAAUGAGAAAUUAUGGUUUUCUCUGCCACUAUCCAUUUGUUUGAUGGCUUUAUUCUUAGAUAUGUAUUUGCAGCAUGGCUUUCAUGAAGACCACAUAGCUCCUUGCAAACCUAUGUUUCUUGCAUUAUGGUUUUGGUUUCUAUAUGUCUGCCAGAGGUGACAUAGAUGAAUGGAGGUAUGUAACUUUUGAGGCCAUAUAAAGAUACAGAAACUAAAAAUAGUGGUAAUUACUUGAAAAAAAAAAAAGAAAUCUCAGAAAGGUCUGAGGUUUAGUUUCUGUAAGAAUCCAGCAUGGAAGUAAUGAUGCAAAAAAUAUCAAACUACCAUGAUUAUUAUGUUUUGAAAUCUUCUUUGUUCGUUAUUCUUCAUCAAAAUAUCUAAUGUGAUAAUCAAGACCUCGUUCCUAUCCUCCAGAGAUUACAAAUUACU